AGGACGAACGCUGGCGGCGUGCUUAACACAUGCAAGUCGAGCGGAAAGGCCCUUCGGGGUACUCGAGCGGCGAACGGGUGAGUAACACGUGAGUAACCUGCCCUGGACUUUGGGAUAACCCUCGGAAACGGGGGCUAAUACCGGAUACGACACGCUCUCGCAUGGGAUGUGUGUGGAAAGUUUUUUCGGUUGGGAUGGGCUCGCGGACUAUCAGCUUGUUGGUGGGUGAUGGCCUACCAAGGCGACGACGGUUA
Molecule: ribosomal RNA, 254 nt
Filed under: uncultured bacterium
Lineage: Bacteria
Description: partial small subunit ribosomal RNA
Rfam family: Bacterial small subunit ribosomal RNA
Source: RNAcentral